This 69-nucleotide transfer RNA is filed under the name Chalcorana labialis. RNAcentral's name for it is "tRNA-Trp". It matches the Rfam family "tRNA". From Rfam's summary of the family: Transfer RNA (tRNA) molecules are approximately 80 nucleotides in length. Their secondary structure includes four short double-helical elements and three loops (D, anti-codon, and T loops). Lineage: Eukaryota; Metazoa; Chordata; Amphibia; Anura; Ranidae. The record is from RNAcentral.
AGAAACUUAGGCUAAUUAGACCAAAGGCCUUCAAAGCCUUAAGAGAAGGUUUAACCCCUUCAGUUUCUG